CACUUAAUAACUAGCCCACUAAACUAAACCCAACACCAAAACAUAAUUACCCUUAAAAAAAUUAGCCACCCAAAACAAACCAUUUUACCCCCAUAGUAUAGGUGAUAGAAACGGACUUAUGGAGCAAUAGAAAAUGUACCGCAAGGGAAUGUUGAAAGAGAAAUGAAAAAAAUUAGUUAAGUCUAAAAAAGUAGAGACACCCCCUCGUACCUUUUGCAUCAUGAUUUAGCUAGUAAACCUUAAGCAAAAAGAGUUUUAGUUUAAUUUCCCGAAACUAAGUGAGCUACUCCAAGAUAGUCUAAUAUAUAGGACAACCCCGUCUCUGUGGCAAAAGAGUGGAAAAAGCUUUGAGUAGAGGUGAUAAACCUACCGAACUUAGUGAUAGCUGGUUGCCUGCAAAUUGAAUAGAAGUUCAGCCUUUUAAAUUCUUUCUCCAUAAGAAAAUAUUUAUCUCAGGUAAAAAGAAGUUAAAAGAGUUAGUCAAGGAGGGUACAGCCCCUUUGAAACAGGUACAACUUUAACAGGCGGGUAAAGAUCAUAUUUAAUAAGGCAAUUUAUCCUAGUGGGCCUAAAAGCAGCCACCUAAUUAGAAAGCGUUAAAGCUCAAAAACAACCCCCGCCUCCAAUACUGAUUACAUCUCUUAACCCCCUAAUAAUAUCAGGCCACUCCAUGCAAGCAUGGAAGAAAUACUGCUAAAAUGAGUAAUAAGGGAAUUUCUCCCUCAUUCGCACGUGUGUAUCUCGGAACGGACUAUCCACCGAAUAUUAACGGACCCAAACAAAGAGGGAAGUGAGUCACAAAUAAACAACAAGAAAAAACCCCAACAUACACCGUUAACCCUACACUGGCGUGCACACAAUGAAAGACUAAAAGAGAAAAAAGGAACUCGGCAAACACCAAGCCUCGCCUGUUUACCAAAAACAUCGCCUUUUGAUAAAAAUAAAAGGUCCCGCCUGCCCAGUGACCACUGGUUCAACGGCCGCGGUAUUCUGACCGUGCAAAGGUAGCAGCAAUCACUUGUCUUUUAAAUGAAGACCGGUGUGAAUGGCAUAACGAGGGCUUAACUGUCUCCUUUCUCUAGUCAAUGAAAUUAAUCUCCCCGUGCAGAAGCGGGGAUACCCACAUAAGACGAGAAGACCCUGUGGAGCUUUAGACACAAGAGCAGCCCAUGUCACUUAAACUUAAUAACAAGAGAUAAACCUAAUGACCCCUGCUUCCAUGUCUUUGGUUGGGGUGACCACGGGGAAACAAAAAACCCCCGAGCGGAUAGAGAAAACACACCUCCCACAACAAAGAGCCUCAGCUCUAAACAACAGAACUUCUGACCACCAAGAUUCCGGCAAAGCCGAUCAACGAACCGAGUUACCCCAGGGAUAACAGCGCAAUCCUCUUACAGAGCCCAUAUCGACAAGAGGGUUUACGACCUCGAUGUUGGAUCAGGACAUCCUAAUGGUGCAGCCGCUAUUAAGGGUUCGUUUGUUCAACGAUUAAUAGUCCU
This 1499-nucleotide ribosomal RNA is filed under the name Polycentrus schomburgkii (Guyana leaffish). Its description in RNAcentral is "partial 16S ribosomal RNA". It matches the Rfam family "Bacterial large subunit ribosomal RNA", at positions 177 to 2597 of the family's 2925-position model. The record is from RNAcentral. Lineage: Eukaryota; Metazoa; Chordata; Actinopteri; Polycentridae.